Molecule: ribosomal RNA, 433 nt
Filed under: uncultured bacterium
Lineage: Bacteria
Description: partial 16S ribosomal RNA
Rfam family: Bacterial small subunit ribosomal RNA
Source: RNAcentral
AACGAACGCUGGCGGCAUGCCUAACACAUGCAAGUCGAACGAGACCUUCGGGUCUAGGGGCGCACGGGUGCGUAACGCGUGGGAACCUGCCCUUAGGUUCGGAAUAACUCCCCGAAAGGGGUGCUAAUACCGGAUAAUGUCUUCGGACCAAAGAUUUAUCGCCUUUGGAUGGGCCCGCGUUGGAUUAGCUAGUUGGUAGGGUAAAAGCCUACCAAGGCGACGAUCCAUAGCUGGUCUGAGAGGAUGCUCAGCCACACUGGGACUGAGACACGGCCCAGACUCCUACGGGAGGCAGCAGUGGGGAAUAUUGGACACUGGGCGAAAGCCUGAUCCAGCAAUGCCGCGUGAGUGAUGAAGGCCUUAGGGUUGUAAAGCUCUUUUACCCGGGAUGAUAAUGACAGUACCGGGAGAAUAAGCUCCGGCUAACUCCGUG